Molecule: non-coding RNA, 1236 nt
Organism: Parasteatoda tepidariorum (common house spider)
Lineage: Eukaryota; Metazoa; Arthropoda; Arachnida; Araneae; Theridiidae
Source: RefSeq, a predicted model, not a curated record
CAUUCUACUGACAAACUAUCACAACUCCAAUCUGGUUUUCCGCGUCCCGAAAAUUACGAAUACGUCAAUCAUGAGGUUGUUCUUCGGCGACAAUUACGGCCACACAUUAUCAGCAACUUGAAAAGAAACCUUUCUUGCAAGACGUGGUUUUCGUGGCCGUGACGGUUUCUGUUGUUCUAAACUUAGGAAAUGACUAGAACCAGCGCCAUCUCUUGGUGAAGCAUCGCGAUCAAUAUCGCUAUUGCAAAAAGACGGCGAGAGACUGGAUUGUAGGGUAGGGAAUCUCAACAUUAUGGUCUGUGGUAUACUGGCGGAUAACAGCGAUAGUGCAAUACCGGCAGUUUCUAUAUUGCUCGUGGAUGACUAUUUUAUAAAAGUGUUUUGAUUUUUUGCUGCAAGAAUAAUAACCAUUUUGGAAUUACGUUUAAAAUGUGGUGUCAAGAAAUAAUGUGUGCGUGAAUUGGAAGAUUAGAAUAUUUUUUAAGAGUGAUAUUGGAUUGCGAGGAAUUCCAUGUGCCAAUUCCAAUUAAGGAUCUAAGUAUUCGGAUGAGAAUAUAAAUAUUUCUCGACAUUCAUAUAGGUGUAUAGUUGACUAGUAUACCAAAAAAAAUUUGGUUUUUCAAUUGUUUCUCUGAUAUAUGCUGUUUUGAAUCCAACCCAGAAGACCAGGUAACUCCAAGAUGAAGGUAGCUCCUUCGAAUUUUUUGCUUGAACAGAUCAGCAUAUCCGUUACAUGGAGAAGAAAACCCAGAAAAACUCCCUCAGUUUUUUUCCGUCACCAAGAGGAUUUUAACCCAUGACCGUCUACCUCUUCCGAUUUUUUGCAACAGCACUGUGGUCUAUACGAGCUUGAAACGGAAUUCGUAUAAAUAAGUCACUGUGAUUCGGACCUGGAUCGUCUGAUUGGGAGACGAAUGCUCUACCAAAGGAGCAACCAAGGCUCCAUACAAUUCAUGCUUUUACAGAACUGUUAAAAUUUUAGUUAAGUCUUCAUAAUGCUUUUUCUAGUGUAGGGGAUGUAUUUGGCUGUAUAGAAUUUCUCCUCCGGUAGAAAGAAUGACAAAUUGAAAAAAAAAAUAAUUGUUGAAUAAACUUCUAUAUAAACACAGUAAAAUGUAUGGCAAAAAUGUCGACAGAUAAUAGCACUUAUAAAAUACAAUAUUUACCCAAAUUAAAUUUCUAAAACCAAGGUGAACAUCAGUUAUACUUUAAAUCAUAAAUUUAUUUUAUUUUAAA